GAAUGCAAAGAGGGGAGAUAAUUCUAUCUUUGUUGAAUAUACUGCAAGCACCCUACAUUAAAAGAUUUAAGGUCCUAAUUUGCACUGAACCACUAGGAACCAAGAUAUGUGCAUUUUUCUUUCUAGGACAAUAUAGAGCAAUCCUAUCUAUAGUAAGAGGCAUCUUUCAAAAUUGCUGAUGCUGCAGCUAGCAAACAUAAAGAUGAGUGACCAAAUGACUUCAUAGACAUGGAUGAAGUAAUAUAUACGGGUGCUUCAAAGAGUUUCACUCACCCCUACAGCUGAGUGACUGUAAGAGGUAUACAGUUCUUCGAGCAAGGAAUUUGCAGAUGAAUUCUAUUCUCUAUGAGCAGCAUCACUUGCUCUUCUAAAUUCAAGAGAAACAGCAGAUGGUCCUAAC
Molecule: long non-coding RNA, 400 nt
Filed under: Setaria italica (foxtail millet)
Lineage: Eukaryota; Viridiplantae; Streptophyta; Magnoliopsida; Poales; Poaceae
Description: long non-coding RNA (SITA_LNC003225)
Source: RNAcentral